AACGAACGCUGGCGGCAUGCCUAACACAUGCAAGUCGAACGAGACCUUCGGGUCUAGUGGCGCACGGGUGCGUAACGCGUGGGAACCUGCCCUUAGGUUCGGAAUAACUCCCCGAAAGGGGUGCUAAUACCGGAUAAUGUCUUCGGACCAAAGAUUUAUCGCCUUUGGAUGGGCCCGCGUUGUAUUAGCUAGUUGGUAGGGUAAAAGCCUACCAAGGCGACGAUCCAUAGCUGGUCUGAGAGGAUGAUCAGCCACACUGGGACUGAGACACGGCCCAGACUCCUACGGGAGGCAGCAGUGGGGAAUAUUGGACAAUGGGCGAAAGCCUGAUCCAGCAAUGCCGCGUGAGUGAUGAAGGCCUUAGGGUUGUAAAGCUCUUUUACCCGGGAUGAUAAUGACAGUACCGGGAGAAUAAGCGCCGGCUAACUCCGUG
This 433-nucleotide ribosomal RNA is filed under the name uncultured bacterium. RNAcentral's name for it is "partial 16S ribosomal RNA". It matches the Rfam family "Bacterial small subunit ribosomal RNA", at positions 29 to 507 of the family's 1533-position model. The record is from RNAcentral.